UACGGAGGGUGCGAGCGUUGUCCGGAAUCACUGGGCGUAAAGGGCGCGUAGGUGGCCCGCGCAAGCGUGCGGUGAAAGUCCGGGGCUCAACCCCGGAUCGGCCGUGCGGACUGCGGGGCUGGAGCACUGUAGGGGCGGGUGGAAUUCCGGGUGUAGCGGUGGAAUGCGUAGAGAUCCGGAAGAACACCGGUGGCGAAGGCGGCCCGCUGGGCAGUAGCUGACACUGAGGCGCGACAGCGUGGGGAGCAAACAGG
RNAcentral lists this ribosomal RNA (254 nucleotides) under uncultured bacterium. RNAcentral describes it as "partial 16S ribosomal RNA". It matches the Rfam family "Bacterial small subunit ribosomal RNA", at positions 524 to 776 of the family's 1533-position model. The record is from RNAcentral.